GAAAUGCGAUAAGUAAUGUGAAUUGCAGAAUUCAGUGAAUCAUCGAAUCUUUGAACGCACAUUGCGCCCUCUGGUAUUCCGGGGGGCAUGCCUGUUCGAGCGUCAUUACACCACUCAAGCUCAGCUUGGUAUUGAGGGCCGCCCCGGUGGGGCGCCCCCGAAAAACAGCGGCGGUGCGGCCGGAUCUUCCAGCGCAGUGACUUAUAAUCUCGUUGCGAGGAUCCGAUCGUCCCGGCCGGACAACCCCCAAUUUUUUCUAUGGUUGACCUCGGAUCAGGUAGGGAUACCCGCUGAACUUAA
This 300-nucleotide unclassified non-coding RNA is filed under the name uncultured Stictidaceae. Its description in RNAcentral is "sequence contains ITS1". The stretch from base 1 to 105 matches the Rfam family "5.8S ribosomal RNA", at positions 50 to 154 of the family's 154-position model. The record is from RNAcentral. Lineage: Eukaryota; Fungi; Ascomycota; Lecanoromycetes; Ostropales.